Molecule: long non-coding RNA, 1612 nt
Organism: Parus major (Great Tit)
Lineage: Eukaryota; Metazoa; Chordata; Aves; Passeriformes; Paridae
Source: Ensembl
AUGAUAAAAAUACCUCUUCAGUCUCUACUACCACUUCCACUGUUAACUCUACUGAGAAAUUUUCAGGGUAAGAGUAUGGUUCCUGCUACAUGCUGUGAGGAGGUGCAUCUGAUCUAUAAGGAGAGGAGUUUCUUGGGAGCUUGGCUGUUCUUCCUCUUCCCUUGUGAUCUCUGCACACCUGAGGUAAUUGAGAGAGCAUCUGCAGAUGGAAGUAUGCCCUUCCUUAAGGGCUGCAGAGGAAGGUCAGACAUUUUCUGAAGGUGUAUGCAGUCAAUUCCCAAAAUACACCACCACUGCUGAAAUCAAUGACAAAGUAAGCCUUGAUUUGGGAACUGAUAGUAUUUUUACACUUAUAAAUGUAACUCAUCUACUCUGUGAUGCAAAAUACACAGCUAAUAGUGAACGUGAAUCGCACAAUUAAAGAAUCACAGAAAUUAUAACUAUUGCUUACUUCUUUUUAACAAAAUUUUGGUUUGCAUGCUAACAUUCUGUAUUCUCUAAAAAUGUUAGAGAUUCUAUAAUAUGACAGCGUGACUAAUAAUUUUAAUCCUGCAAAUACUAAUAUUUUUCAGAUUUGCAUCUGUGAAUUAAAUCUUAUAUAAGUCCUUUCCGAAGAAAUUAAUACAAAGAUUCUGUGGCUAAACAUACUUAAGCGCUACAUAGCCAAGAAUCAGAAAAAUUUUCUCAAAAUGAACUGUAAUCUCUAAAUGUCAUUUUUUUUGCAAUAGUUUGUCCAAAUAAUAGCAGUUUUAAAGAAGAGUAUUUUCUGCUGGUAGAAAAUAUGGAUGCAAAGAACUACUAAAUGACAGAUAAUGGCAAUACAUGUGGUUUUAAUGAUCUCUGAUAUAUGCUUACUAAGGGCAGAGAGAAUUGAAAGGAUUAGCUGGUAUCUGAAGGUGUAGCCUGGAGCAGGACAUGAAUUAUGUUCCCUACUGUCCAGCUCCUCAUAAUGAUGACCAUGUCUACUGUGGGAGAGAUUUUGGGGUGCAGAACCUUCAUAGACAGAUGUGAAAGCAGACACUAAUGGAACUCCAAAGACAAGGGUGAUGAUCUUAGAAUCCACCUCUUGAAAACAGCUGUGUUUAUGCUUACCAGCUGUGCUUAAAUUUAAAGAGAGUAUUUAUCACUCCUGUUACGAUUACUUACUGGUUUCAUUGUAAGGCAAUUAAAUAUUUGCUGGUUUAUGAAGUUUUGCUGUGUACUAUCUUUAACUAUUUGGAUUGCUGGCAACUGGAAAAAAACCUAGAGCUAUUUUAAUGCCAUAAAAAAAGAGUUUGAUUUUUGGAAGAAACUAAUACUAAUUGAGAGAUUCUUUCUGACUUUAACUAAAAGGCACUGUUUAAAAUUCAGAGGAAAGGUCAUUAAUAAGAAACAAAGGGCAGAGAAUGGAGACAAUUUCUGAUUUAUCACAAAGUUUAGACCAUUUUUGGUUUUUCCAGCUAAUCUACCAUGAAAUAACAAUUACAAGUAUUUAAAAUGCCACAAACUACAGAUGAUAUUAUGUAAGCAAAUACCACCUUCUAUAUCCAUUUUUCAAAAAAACUGAAGUUUAGCUUAUGAAAUAUAGUUUGAAUUUUUGUUUCCAAACAAAUAAAAGGUUAGAUUUUGAACA